This 397-nucleotide ribosomal RNA is filed under the name uncultured bacterium. RNAcentral's name for it is "partial 16S ribosomal RNA". It matches the Rfam family "Bacterial small subunit ribosomal RNA", at positions 523 to 918 of the family's 1533-position model. The record is from RNAcentral.
AUACGUAGGGGGCGAGCGUUGUCCGGAAUUACUGGGUGUAAAGGGCGUGUAGGCGGUUUGGCAAGUCAGAAGUGAAAUUCCCGAGCUUAACUUGGGCGCUGCUUCUGAAACUGCUAAACUUGAGUGCUGGAGAGGAUAGUGGAAUUCCUAGUGUAGCGGUAAAAUGCGCAGAUAUUAGGAGGAACACCGGUGGCGAAGGCGGUUAUCUGGACAGUAACUGACGCUGAGGCGCGAAAGCACGGGGAGCAAACAGGAGUAGAUACCCUGGUAGUCCAUGCCGUAAACGAUGAAUACUAGGUGUAGGGGGUAUCGACUCCCUCUGUGCCGCAGUUAACACAUUAAGUAUUCCACCUGGGGAGUACGGCCGCAAGGUUGAAACUCAAAUGAAUUGACGGGG